GAUGGGCCCGCGGCCUAUCAGCUUGUUGGUGGGGUGAUGGCCUACCAAGGCUUCGACGGGUAGCCGGCCUGAGAGGGCGUCCGGCCACACUGGGACUGAGACACGGCCCAGACUCCUACGGGAGGCAGCAGUGGGGAAUAUUGCGCAAUGGGCGGAAGCCUGACGCAGCGACGCCGCGUGGGGGAUGACGGCCUUCGGGUUGUAAACCUCUUUCGACCUCGACGAAGAGUGAUUGACGGUAGGGGUGGAAGAAGCACCGGCCAACUACGUGCCAGCAGCCGCGGUAACACGUAGGGUGCGAGCGUUGUCCGGAAUUAUUGGGCGUAAAGAGCUCGUAGGCGGUGUGUCGCGUCGGCCGUGAAAACCUGCAGCUUAACUGUGGGCGUGCGGUCGAUACGGGCAUCACUGGAGUUCGGCAGGGGAGACUGGAAUUCCUGGUGUAGCGGUGAAAUGCGCAGAUAUCAGGAGGAACACCGGUGGCGAAGGCGGGUCUCUGGGCCGAUACUGACGCUGAGGAGCGAAAGCGUGGGGAGCGAACAGGAUUAGAUACCCUGGUAGUCCACGCCGUAAACGUUGGGCGCUAGGUGU
RNAcentral lists this ribosomal RNA (588 nucleotides) under uncultured Actinomycetes bacterium. RNAcentral describes it as "bacterial SSU rRNA". It matches the Rfam family "Bacterial small subunit ribosomal RNA", at positions 224 to 823 of the family's 1533-position model. Lineage: Bacteria; Bacillati; Actinomycetota; Actinomycetes. The record is from RNAcentral.